Molecule: long non-coding RNA, 801 nt
Filed under: Trifolium pratense (red clover)
Lineage: Eukaryota; Viridiplantae; Streptophyta; Magnoliopsida; Fabales; Fabaceae
Description: long non-coding RNA (TPRA_LNC014426)
Source: RNAcentral
GAAACAUUUUAAAGAAUGUGAGAAGCACAAGCCUUCACCAACUCCAUACUACUACAAAUCACCUCCACCUCCCUCACCGGUUUACAAGUACAAAUCGCCACCUCCACCGGUCCAUUACUAUUCACCUCCAUAUUACUACAAGUCACCUCCACCUCCCUCACCAGUUUACAAGUACAAUUCCCCACCUCCACCAGUCCACCAUUAUGAUCCUCCAUAUUACUACAAGUCACCUCCACCUCCCUCACCAGUUUACAAGUACAACUCCCCACCUCCACCAGUCCACCAUUACGAUCCUCCAUAUUACUACAAGUCACCUCCACCUCCCUCACCGGUUUACAAGUACAACUCCCCACCUCCACCAGUCCAUUAUUAUUCACCUCCAUAUUACUACAAAUCACCCCCUACUCCUGUGAAAUCGCCACCACCUCCAUACUACUAUAAAUCACCGCCUCCUCCCUCACCAGUUUAUAAGUAUAGCUCACCACCUCCACCAGUCCACCAUUAUGAUCCUCCAUAUAACUACAAGUCACCUCCACCGCCUUCACCUGUUUACAAGUACAACUCCCCACCUCCACCAGUCCAUUAUUAUUCACCUCCAUAUUACUACAAAUCACCCCCUCCUCCUGUGAAAUCGCCACCACCUCCUUACUACUAUAAAUCACCUCCUCCUCCCUCACCGGUUUACAAAUACAACUCACCACCUCCACCGGUUUACAAGUACAACUCACCACCUCCGCCAGUCCAUUAUUACUCUCCUCCAUAUUACUAUAAGUCACCUCCACCUCCUUCACCGGUUUACAA